RNAcentral lists this ribosomal RNA (87 nucleotides) under Petromyzon marinus (sea lamprey). The record is from RNAcentral. Lineage: Eukaryota; Metazoa; Chordata; Hyperoartia; Petromyzontiformes; Petromyzontidae.
GCAUACGACCAGAUCACCCUGAAUGCGCCCGAUAUCAUCUGAUCUCGGAAGCUAAGCACGGUCGAGUCAGGUUAGUACUUGCAUGGG